RNAcentral lists this ribosomal RNA (301 nucleotides) under uncultured bacterium. Its description in RNAcentral is "partial 16S ribosomal RNA". It matches the Rfam family "Bacterial small subunit ribosomal RNA", at positions 509 to 807 of the family's 1533-position model. The record is from RNAcentral.
CAGCCGCCACGGGAAUACGUAGGGUGCAAGCGUUAAUCGGAAUUACUGGGCGUAAAGCGUGCGCAGGCGGUUAUAUAAGACAGAUGUGAAAUCCCCGGGCUCAACCUGGGAACUGCAUUUGUGACUGUAUAGCUAGAGUACGGCAGAGGGUGAUGGAAUUCCGCGUGUAGCAGUGAAAUGCGUAGAUAUGAGGAGGAACACCGAUGGCGAAGGCAAUCCCCUGGGCCUGUACUGACGCUCAUGCACGAAAGCGUGGGGAGCAAACAGGAUUAGAUACCCGCGUAGUCCCUGUCUCUUAUAC